Betta splendens (Siamese fighting fish) is the source of this 540-nucleotide long non-coding RNA. RefSeq lists it as uncharacterized. NCBI's taxonomy places the organism in Eukaryota, Metazoa, Chordata, Actinopteri, Anabantiformes, Osphronemidae. The transcript has 4 exons. The record is from RefSeq and is a predicted model, not a curated record.
GGCGGAGCCAGGCAGAAUGGGAGGCGGGGCCAGGCAGAGAGGGAGGCGGAGCCAGGAUGCUGAAGAUCAACUGGUGUCUCACCAAUUGUUCAUCCUUGCAUACAGGUACAGCAGUAAUAUUCAACAGCCGAAGAGACAGAACCGAACCUUGUUCACAGCCCCUUUUCUGAGGAAGAUGUACAGGAACAAGUCAGCAACAGGAUUAAGUUCACUGAAAAAAAAAGCAAAAAAGUAUACCUUAUAAUUUUGAGGUUUGACCAGGCAACAUAUGAUCACGAACACUGAUGGAGGCAGACAAAGUUCUAAGGGUCCCAACCAGGAAGAACAUGAGCAGAGGAAGAGGGAGGAGGAGGAAGAUGCCAGAAAUUUUAAGGUUCAAACACACACUUAAUACCCAGGAAAUGUAAGACGUCGUCCUGCAAAGCAAACAGAGCGGACCGACUGAAGCCGGAACAGGAUCAGCGGCUCAGACCCCACGUGGAGCUGCUGACUGACCAACACCUGAUGGUUCACGUCAAGGCCCCUGAUGAACCAAGAUAC